RNAcentral lists this small RNA (108 nucleotides) under Flavobacteriaceae bacterium. RNAcentral describes it as "6S RNA". It matches the Rfam family "6S-Flavo RNA". The record is from RNAcentral. RNAcentral also lists the same sequence under 1 other name. Lineage: Bacteria; Pseudomonadati; Bacteroidota; Flavobacteriia; Flavobacteriales; Flavobacteriaceae.
ACUCAACACUAAUUUGUUUAAAAAGGGUGAGUUUAGAUUGUAAAAGCAGGCCUUCUCGUAAAGGAUCCUUGAGCAGUCUGUUAGCCCUAAACCUGUUUAUAGGAGUUU